GAUGAACGCUGGCGGCGUGCCUAAUACAUGCAAGUCGAGCGAACGGACGAGAAGCUUGCUACUCUGAUGUUAGCGGCGGACGGGUGAGUAACACGUGGAUAACCUACCUAUAAGACUGGGAUAACUUCGGGAAACCGGAGCUAAUACCGGAUAAUAUUUUGAACCGCAUGGUUCAAAAGUGAAAGACGGUCUUGCUGUCACUUAUAGAUGGAUCCGCGCUGCAUUAGCUAGUUGGUAAGGUAACGGCUUACCAAGGCAACGAUGCAUAGCCGACCUGAGAGGGUGAUCGGCCACACUGGAACUGAGACACGGUCCAGACUCCUACGGGAGGCAGCAGUAGGGAAUCUUCCGCAAAGGGCGAAAGCCUGACGGAGCAACGCCGCGUGAGUGAUGAAGGUCUUCGGAUCGUAAAACUCUGUUAUUAGGGAAGAACAUAUGUGUAAGUAACUGUGCACAUCUUGACGGUACCUAAUCAGAAAGCCACGGCUAACUACGUG
RNAcentral lists this ribosomal RNA (497 nucleotides) under uncultured bacterium. RNAcentral describes it as "partial 16S ribosomal RNA". It matches the Rfam family "Bacterial small subunit ribosomal RNA", at positions 28 to 507 of the family's 1533-position model. The record is from RNAcentral.